Molecule: ribosomal RNA, 497 nt
Filed under: uncultured soil bacterium
Lineage: Bacteria
Description: bacterial SSU rRNA
Rfam family: Bacterial small subunit ribosomal RNA
Source: RNAcentral
AGAUUGAACGCUGGCGGCAUGCUUUACACAUGCAAGUCGAACGGUAACAGGCCGCAAGGUGCUGACGAGUGGCGAACGGGUGAGUAAUGUAUCGGAACGUGCCCAGUCGUGGGGGAUAACGCAGCGAAAGCUGCGCUAAUACCGCAUACGAUCUAUGGAUGAAAGCGGGGGACCGUAAGGCCUCGCGCGAUUGGAGCGGCCGAUAUCAGAUUAGGUAGUUGGUGGGGUAAAGGCUCACCAAGCCAACGAUCUGUAGCUGGUCUGAGAGGACGACCAGCCACACUGGGACUGAGACACGGCCCAGACUCCUACGGGAGGCAGCAGUGGGAAUUUUGGACAAUGGGCGCAAGCCUGAUCCAGCAAUGCCGCGUGCAGGAAGAAGGCCUUCGGUUGUAAACUGCUUUUGUACGAACGAAACGGUACCUGGUUAAUACCUAGGCUAAUGACGGUACCGUAAGAAUAAGCACCGGCUAACUACGUGCCAGCAGCCGCGGUAA